UACGUAGGGUGCAAGCGUUAAUCGGAAUUACUGGGCGUAAAGCGUGCGUAGACGGUUAUGUAAGUCAGAUGUGAAAGCCCCGGGCUCAACCUGGGAAUUGCAUUUGAGACUGCAUAGCUAGGGUGCGGAAGAGGGAAGCGGAAUUUCCGGUGUAGCGGUGAAAUGCGUAGAGAUCCGGAGGAACACCAGCGGCGAAGGCGGCAUCCUGGACUGGUCCUGACACUCAUGAGCGAAAGCGUGGGGAGCGAUCCGG
Molecule: ribosomal RNA, 253 nt
Filed under: uncultured bacterium
Lineage: Bacteria
Description: partial 16S ribosomal RNA
Rfam family: Bacterial small subunit ribosomal RNA
Source: RNAcentral